GGCGUAAAGCGCGCGUAGGCGGCUAAUUAAGUCAAAUGUGAAAUCCCCGAGCUUAACUUGGGAAUUGCAUUCGAUACUGGUUAGCUAGAGUGUGGGAGAGGAUGGUAGAAUUCCAGGUGUAGCGGUGAAAUGCGUAGAGAUCUGGAGGAAUACCGAUGGCGAAGGCAGCCAUCUGGCCUAACACUGACGCUGAGGUGCGAAAGCAUGGGGAGCAAACAGGAUUAGAUACCCUGGUAGUCCAUGCCGUAAACGAUGUCUACUAGCCGUUGGGGCCUUUGAGGCUUUAGUGGCGCAGCUAACGCGAUAAGUAGACCGCCUGGGGAGUACGGUCGCAAGACUAAAACUCAAAUGAAUUGACGGGGGCCCGCACAAGCGGUGGAGCAUGUGGUUUAAUUCGAUGCAACGCGAAGAACCUUACCUGGCCUUGACAUAGUAAGAACUUUCCAGAGAUGGAUUGGUGCCUUCGGGAACUUACAUACAGGUGCUGCAUGGCUGUCGUCAGCUCGUGUCGUGAGAUGUUGGGUUAAGUCCCGCAACGAGCGCAACCCU
This 549-nucleotide ribosomal RNA is filed under the name uncultured bacterium. RNAcentral's name for it is "bacterial SSU rRNA". It matches the Rfam family "Bacterial small subunit ribosomal RNA", at positions 557 to 1105 of the family's 1533-position model. The record is from RNAcentral.